CACUUUUAAAAUCGGUCAUAAAACAACCGAUCUUAAAAACACUUUUAAGAUCGGUUAUUUUAUGACCGAUCUUAAAAGUU
RNAcentral lists this microRNA precursor (80 nucleotides) under Cajanus cajan (pigeon pea). RNAcentral's name for it is "miRNA gene-KK1_046069". The record is from RNAcentral. Lineage: Eukaryota; Viridiplantae; Streptophyta; Magnoliopsida; Fabales; Fabaceae.